AUACGUAGGUGGCAAGCGUUGUCCGGAUUUACUGGGUGUAAAGGGCGUGUAGGCGGAGAUGCAAGUCAGGAGUGAAAUCUAGGGGCUCAACCCCUAAACUGCUUUUGAAACUGUAUCCCUUGAGUAUCGGAGAGGCAGGCGGAAUUUCUAGUGUAGCGGUGAAAUGCUUAGAUAUCACUCAGAACACCGAUUGCGAAGGCAUCUGACGAACUGCCCACUGACGCUGAGGCACGAAAGCGUGGGGAUCAAACAGGAUUAGAUACCCUGGUAGUCCACGCAGUAAACGAUGAUGACUAACUGCCGGCCCGUUGCGGGUCGGUGGCCAAGCGAAAGCGAUAAGUCAUCCACCUGGGGAGUACGACCGCAAGGUUGAAACUCAAAUGAAUUGACGGGG
Molecule: ribosomal RNA, 394 nt
Filed under: uncultured bacterium
Lineage: Bacteria
Description: partial 16S ribosomal RNA
Rfam family: Bacterial small subunit ribosomal RNA
Source: RNAcentral